UGCCAGCAGCCGCGGUAAUACGAAGGGGGCUAGCGUUGUUCGGAAUUACUGGGCGUAAAGAGCGUGUAGGCGGAUUGUCAAGUCAGAGGUGAAAGCCCAGGGCCCAACCCUGGAACUGCCUUUGAAACUGACAGUCUAGAAUCUCAGAGGGGGAGGCGGAAUUCCUAAUGUAGGGGUGAAAUCCGUAGAUAUUAGGAGGAACACCGGUGGCGAAGGCGGCCUCCUGGAUGAGUAUUGACGCUGAGACGCGAAAGCGUGGGUAGCGAACAGGAUUAGAUA
RNAcentral lists this ribosomal RNA (279 nucleotides) under uncultured bacterium. RNAcentral describes it as "partial 16S ribosomal RNA". It matches the Rfam family "Bacterial small subunit ribosomal RNA", at positions 506 to 784 of the family's 1533-position model. The record is from RNAcentral.